GCCGGGGUCUCCUAGUGGCUAUGGAGGUGGUCUCGAAUCAUCUGCUUUAGCGAGAGAACCGCUGUGUUCGCACGCAUGAGUUCAAGUCUCAUCCCCGGCG
Molecule: transfer RNA, 100 nt
Filed under: Candidatus Thorarchaeota archaeon AB_25
Lineage: Archaea; Promethearchaeati; Candidatus Thorarchaeota
Description: tRNA-Ser
Source: RNAcentral